Molecule: ribosomal RNA, 229 nt
Filed under: uncultured bacterium
Lineage: Bacteria
Description: partial 16S ribosomal RNA
Rfam family: Bacterial small subunit ribosomal RNA
Source: RNAcentral
UACGUAGGCGGAUAAUUAAGUCAGAGGUGAAAUCCUGCAGCUCAACUGUAGAAUUGCCUUUGAUACUGGUUAUCUUGAGUUAUUAUGAAGUAGUUAGAAUAUGUAGUGUAGCGGUGAAAUGCAUAGAUAUUACAUAGAAUACCAAUUGCGAAGGCAGAUUACUAAUAAUCAACUGACACUGAUGGACGAAAGCGUGGGGAGCGAACAGGAUUAGAUACCCUGGUAGUCC